GCUCUUGCGAUUGCUCUCACUGUCUCUUGGAGUGGUUUUUCUGAGUUGGGAGCUUGUGGCAGCGUGCUUGAUGUCUUGGCAGUUUUGUGUUGGCGGCUUGCUGGUGAGGUGACUGGGAGAAGCUCUUAGCAAGCUUGGAGUAUCUGUCAUCCCCUGGUGAUCGAUGUUGCAUGAGGUGGAAGGAUGGUGCUGGACGUCAUCCCCAAAGCUUUAUUAGCAUUCCAGUUAUCGUUCUGCAAUCAAUAAUGGAUGCCAACCAAAGUGGAGGGAGCAACAAUUACCCCUGACAGCUUCCCUUUCAUUUGAGUGUGGGAUGGAGCUGUAGAGAUUGGGAAGAGCACAAGAUCAUCAACAUGUCACUAAGCACAGCAUAUUUGCCCCUCCAGGUUCCCUCAUCCUCAAUGUGAGACUGUGGAGGGAACAUUAGAUUUGAAGUCGAGAGACCUAGGUUUGAAUUCUGCCUUAAUGGAAGUGUGGCACUGGGUGCAUCACUUCAUCUCUCUGUUCUUCUCCGUAAAGUUAGGACAGGUGAACCAGAUGAUCUCAAGAUGAGCUUUUAGCUCCAAAUCCUGGAUCUUGUUUGAAUGCUCCUCACUCUCACAGGGACCCCAAAGGCAUCUGAACAUGAGAUGCAGCUAGAUCAAGGGUCUCACCUUUCUCAUUCUUGUCAACAAUCAGAACUUCUCCAUAAAUCACCUCAUAAAGAUACUUAUCCAGACAUUCUUUUUUGGAGUUAUUUGUUUUUAUCAUACAGAUAACAAUAAACUAAUUUAUAUGA
Molecule: non-coding RNA, 778 nt
Organism: Monodelphis domestica (gray short-tailed opossum)
Lineage: Eukaryota; Metazoa; Chordata; Mammalia; Didelphimorphia; Didelphidae
Source: RefSeq, a predicted model, not a curated record